Oreochromis aureus is the source of this 2438-nucleotide long non-coding RNA. The record is from Ensembl. NCBI's taxonomy places the organism in Eukaryota, Metazoa, Chordata, Actinopteri, Cichliformes, Cichlidae.
AAAAUUGUUUGAAAAUGAUUUGCAGCUUUAUUUUUUACAUCUCUAUAAUAAUACAGAUUCUAAAACUUUAGGACUUUUGUACUGUGUGACAUCAAGCUAAAUAAGAACUAUGAAAGAAAUCGUGGGAAACUGUUUGAAAAGACAUUUCCAUUAAUAGUGCCAUACUUUUCCUUGGAUCCCUGUCCCAUAAGUGUAACCGUAGCUUUGACUCAUACAGUAGAUUUACGUAAAAGUGAGAUGUUUUUUAGAGCCAGCUCGUUGCAUUAGCUAAUGCAUAGCUUGUGUUUGCCGUGUGAAUAACAACAACAAAAUCCAUUAAAUUCUAGGCGACGCACCGCUCUAUUUAGUCUGGCCAGGUUUGUGUUAGCACUUAAAUUUAAAGGAAUUCGCUGUGACAUAAUGAUAUUCCGCUUCCUUCAACUCCCACAGAUGCACAUGGUGAGUUAGCAUAAAAAAGCUUUUAUGUCUUUUUUUUCUUUUUCUUUUAAGAUUGACUUAUUUCUUACUUUUAAAAGAAGUCUGAACACACAGAAAACGUGCUGCAACUGACUUCCCUUCAGAGCCGGGUUAUUGCACGAGAAACGGCACCAAUUGGUCUUGAAAUAUGGAUUCAGAAAUGUAGAAAAAUAGUAAGAAAAGGAGCACAGGAGCAAUUGCAUGUCCACCUUCGGCUUCUUGUGUUACUGGCUUAAGUGACUCUUUAAUGAGGUUCAAAAUGACAGGCAUGUGGACCCCAUGUUGUGGCAAGGGGAGUUAUUUCUGGUAUUAAAAAUAGAUGCUGGAAGGCCUGGGGGGUCUCGGGGGGAGGUAGAUUUCCGCCGUGGGGGGUUUUAAAGCACCAAUGACCUUGCAGUUUGAGAGAAUUGGUGAGUGAAGGAGACAGAAAGAAUUAAAGUGAGAGAAACACACACACACACACACACACAGAGAUGGAAAGACAUGAGAAGUAGCUGAAGGUAGUGUGACUAGAGUGCCUAAAAAGUAAAAAUCCAAACAAAGUGACAAAAAAUAAAAGAAUCCAUUCAACACUACUGGAACAAACACCUUCUCUGACAAACGUAUGUUCAGUAACAUUCAGUCUCAAAGGCACAUGGUAAUGGUUUUGCUUUGUGGCUGCCUUUUUCUGUCUUUAUUCCUAAAAAGACUGCCUUUGCCUUUUGCCAUUAGUUUUUUUGGGGGGUUAUGGUAACAAUGCUAUUACAGUGGAAUAGCAGCUCGGCUAUGAGGGGUGACAGGAGACACGCCAUUUAAUGAGGUACUAAUUUUCAGGAUAACACCACAGGGAAUGAGCACUGCAUAUGAUUCAAAAUGGAUGCUUGCGAGCAGAUUAACAAUAGACUUUUAUCGGAAACCAGCUUCAAUUGUACUCUUAUUAAUUACUUAAUUACCAAUGGUAUUUGUCAUUAUUGCUAUCAUUGUCAUGAUUUAUUCUGUACACACCUUAACCUGGGAAAUGAGGAUCAACUUAUAUACUGGAUACUGUGUAUCCUGAGGUAGUCAACCAUAAAACAUGUAGUGUUAGGUUAGUAUCCGUUUUGUACCUUUCUGGAGGACAAAAGAAAAAAAUGAGAUACAUCAUUGUUAAAUCUGUAUAAUUAUUAUUGUUAUGAUGAUGAUGAUGAUGAUUAUGACUAUUAUUAUUAGGAAAACUUCUUGAUGUAAAUAGUGUUUGAUAUUAAAGUAUUAAUUUGGUUCUUAUGUCUUUUCUAAAAAACAAACAAACAAAUACCAUAUUAUCUCGGGGUUUUGCGGAGUGUGUACUGUCCUCAAACGAUGCAUUGUGUGUUUUGAUACUCAAUGCCUAAUGAAACUUUGAGCUAAUACACAGUGGAAACCUGUGGGCGCUGAACACGUAUCGGUGAACAGCAGGCUGGACUUUAGCCAACAGGAGGCUCAUCUCUUACAUGUUUCAAACCAGUCACCAACCACCACGUCUUCAUGUCAGGAUCCUGCCUUGAUAAGAAACAUUUGGGACUUAAUGGGUGGCCUAUUUGUACUUUUUUUUGCCUUCAGUGUUUGAAAGCAUGUUGGUCAGCUCAAAGAUCAGCCAUAACUGGACUGUUGGCUUUUUAAAAAGAAGGAUCUCACCAGUUUCAUUAUGUGGCAUGCGCAUGAACUUGAUGACAUGUUUAAAAAAAAUCAUUUGGAAAAAAAAAAAAGUUUUCUUCUGCUGUUAUUUUCUUUUCCUUUACGAUGUAUUAGAUUUUCAUGUUCAUGUUGUGCGAUUUCUUUUUUGGUUUUUUUUGCAUCCCCAUUUGAGUGCUGUCAUUAAACUGUGUAGUUACGCAAAUGUACAUAACAAAUAUCAUUUUUGUGAGGUUACAGUGGGGUCAGUCAUUUUGUAGUUCAAAAGCAACUUUAAGUUUUUUUUAAUAAGAAUGACUCUCUGUAUCCAUCUACUGAAGUCAUCCCAUGUAGCUGCACUCUGUCUUCUCUGA